CCUACGGGAGGCAGCAGUAGGGAAUUUUCGUCAAUGGGCGCAAGCCUGAACGAGCAAUGCCGCGUGAACGAGGAAGGUCUUCGGAUCGUAAAGUUCUGUUGAAGGGGAAAAAGAGCGGAGAGAGGAAAUGGUCUCCGAUUGAUAUUACCCUUCGAGGAAGUCACGGCUAACUACGUGCCAGCAGCCGCGGUAAUACGUAGGUGGCGAGCGUUAUCCGGAGUGAGUGGGGGUAAAGGGUGCGUAGGCGGCCUGCUAAGUCUGGAGUGAAAGGUACCGGCUCAACCGGUACAGGCUCUGGAAACUGGCGGGCUAGAGAGCAGGAGAGGGCGGUGGAACUCCAUGUGUAGCGGUAAAAUGCUUAGAUAUAUGGAAGAACACCAGUGGCGAAGGCGGCCGCCUGGCCUGUUUCUGACGCUGAGGCACGAAAGCGUGGGGAGCAAAUAGGAUUAGAUACCCCGGUAGUC
Molecule: ribosomal RNA, 464 nt
Filed under: uncultured bacterium
Lineage: Bacteria
Description: partial 16S ribosomal RNA
Rfam family: Bacterial small subunit ribosomal RNA
Source: RNAcentral